Molecule: long non-coding RNA, 5901 nt
Filed under: Aquilegia coerulea
Lineage: Eukaryota; Viridiplantae; Streptophyta; Magnoliopsida; Ranunculales; Ranunculaceae
Description: long non-coding RNA (ACOE_LNC000118)
Source: RNAcentral
CCAUUAGAAACUACACUAUAAUUCACAUAUUAUACCUGUAAUUACAGUGAGCGCUAGCUCCAUUCCAGUCAUCCUAUUAUUAUAAAAAAAACAAUAGGUGGAGGAACUUGGAAUAACAGUUAGAAGAAAGAAGAAAAAUAAAUAAUUGCGUUUGAGAUUAAAACUGAAUAACCAUUAUAGAUUAUAAGAACACAAAAAUAUAAGAAAAAUUUAAAAACAAAACUGAAUUUGAAAACUAAAAUGUCAUGUAAAAAAUAGAAACAAACAUUAAUUUUUCCUUUUUUACACAAAGAAGUAAUUGUACUACCUACCACUGAAAACCUAGAUAAUAGAAAAUCUUAAUUUAAUCCAACUGAGUGACUUAACCAUGUUUAACACUCAACAUGCCUUUGAAGUCCAAUGACUGUAGCCAUAUUUGAUAAGCACUAAGUGUGAUUAUGACCAAAAUUUUUUAUUUCAAAUAAACCCGAAAGAUAAACAUCUGUUGCCUAUUAAGUACCAAGAACAUUUUGACAAUGUAAUUGCAACUAUAGUCUGUAACAAAGUAAAAGAAAUAGAUCAGCAAAUUUUAAAAACAAAUAGCAAUUAGUGAUGCAUAAUUAAAUGAAGAUACUGGUAGUAUCUUUUAUUAAAAAAUGUAUAUUAAUAUUUUACUAAUAACUAUUGGAAAAAUCUUUACUAAUGACAGCAACUAAUAGUAUUUUAAUCAUUGAAAAUUUUAUACCUGAAAUCUUUAUAGAAGAACUUCUGGGUAAACCACGUUUGUUGUAGUUUUAUCUUCUUCACUUGAGAGUAAGACGGUAAUUCUUCUUAAUGAAGUGCACCGUGAUAAAGCAACAUAUAAUUGGCCAUGACUGAAAACUGGAUUUCGCAAGUCGAUACCAACAAUCUUGACCGAUUGUCCUUGAGAUUUAUUGAUUGUCAUUGCAAAAGCUAACCGUACUGGGAAUUGUCGACGUGACAUUUUAAAUGGUACUUGAGAAUCUGUAGGUUCAAGAGUUAUCCUUGGUAUGAAUACUGGAUCAUUAACACGGCUACCUGUUAAUAUUCUUGCUUCAAUGACUCUUAAACCUACCUGUUCGACCAUUAACCUUGUUCCAUUACAUAACCCAUCCCUAGGUUGUAAGUUUCGCAACAACAUUAUAGGGCAUCCUAUUUUAAGUUGAAGCUUAAAAGGAGGAAGACUCGGGGGAUCUAGUGCUUGCAUAUUCUCAUUUGCUAUUCGAUUUCCUCUGUCUUCAAUUCUUAUAUCAUCUUCUAUAGCUUUAUCAGCCCCAAAAUAUUCAUGCAUUUCUCCAGGAAAAUGGUUAAUAGCUAAUGCGUUUAAAUCACUGACAUCAUCAUUUCGAGCUGAAAGAAUUGUUCGAUCCCUUAAGUAAUCCGAUGUUGCUAUUCCUAGAACAUUCAACAUUGGAUAAACCUUGAAUAACAACUCAACAGAAUUCUUACACCGUGUUAUCUCUGAUGGUAAUUCAAUAUCUUCUGCCGGAUCAGUUCCAACCUGUAGUAGUAAUAUGGAAAUAGAAAUAUAGUUAAUAUAUGUGAGUUAAAUUUAAUAAAAUAUAAAUAUUUAAUUUAAGUUUUACAAAUACCUCAAUUAAAUAGUCUGCAACCUUAAUGUUUUCUACAUCAUCGCAGUUCAGUCUCAUAUUCUUUACCAAAGUGAGAACUUCUACUUCUUGCCACAGGUGAGAUUUUAUUAAGGACGCACAAACAAUUUCUUGUCUUGUUCCUUUUGGUAUCACUGGUAGUGUUUGCUUGAAAUCACCACCUAAAACAAUUGUAAUGCCUCCAAAAUAUUUUUUGUUGCCCAAAAGAUCUUGUAGGCUUCUAUCAACAGUUUCAACACAAUACCGAUGUUGCAUUGGUACUUCAUCCCACACAAUAAGUUUUGUUUGUUUCAAUAAUUCAGCCUUGAAUGAUUUCUUUCUAAUAUCGCAAACAGAAUCAUCUAAAACAUUAAGUGGUAUCUUAAAUGUUGAGUGAGUUGUUCUUCCACCAGUUAAUAGUAAUGAAAAAAAUACCUGAUGAAGCAACCAUAAUCACAAUGUGCCCUUUACUUCUGAGUGAAUCUACUAUUGUGUUGUACACAAAUGUUUUCCCUAUUCCAGCUGGACCAUUAAGAAAGAAUAUUUUGCCGCCAUUAUUUAGAACUGAAUCUGUAACUUCUUUGUAAGCAUGUAGUUAUUCAGAAUUCAAUUGAACAAUUUUUUGUUCUGCCUCAACAUUUAAUCCUUCGUAAGCUAGAGCUUCAUGUUCUAAGAUUAGAUGAUUGUUCCUAGUUUGUUGCCAAUCUCUAGUAGGUAAUGGCAUUUGAGGGUAAUCGGUUAAACUUUUACCAAGUCCUACAAGAUAUUCAUUUAAAAGAAACAAACCAUAAUCGCAUACCUCAGUAUCAGUUGGGUUUGUAAUUGAAAAACUCAUCCUUAGUUUGUGUGGUAAAUCAUCACAAAUGUUUAAGGCAUGUUUUUCCCACAAAACAUCAGGCUGCGUAGGAUUACAAUCUGUAAGUAUUAAGCAAAACAACUUGCGCAACUGAUAUCCAGUUUUCAUCUUCGCUGAUUCUUCUAAACAUUGAUCCCAUUCGUUAUCGUCCUCUAGCAAACCACGAGCUAUGCAUGCUUCUUUGUAAGUCUUGUACUCGAUAUUGUCAACAAAAUAAAGAUCUUCAAAAGAUAUUGGUCCUGGAACAACCGUCAACAACAACCUCAGAUAGAAUCUUUCACCACAAUUUGGAUUGGCAAAAUACAUCCGCCGUAUAGAAAAUGCCGAAGUCAUUCUUGGAGUCCAUUGUUUGUUGUAUUCUUUGUUCCAAACAAAAUAUUCUGGAAACUCUUGGUAUGUAUAACAUCUCGCAUUUUCAUUAGCAUUGCAAUAAUCAAAAAAAGCUGUCAAAGUUGAUUUUUGAUUUUUGGUUUUUUCCACUAUUUGUUCCGGAGGUGUAUCAGGAUCAAAUAUGCAUAAGUGCAUACCUUUGAGAUGUAGGGAAAGUCUGGUUACACUUGGACAUUCAUCAUGAAUUCGAUUUCCGAACAAUCUCCACGCUCCUUCUGUUGGCCCAAUAUAUCUUGCAUCUAUAUAUUGUUGAAUCUCAUCAUCUAAACCACCAACAACCAUGGUAGCUCUAUCAUGCCCUUUGUAAAUAUAUUUAUGAAUAUAUUUAACUGCUAUUACAGACGCACAUAUUUCAAUAUUUAUAUGACAGUCAAACUUCUCAGACAAAUAUGGGUUGUAAGGAACAACAUCCCUAUUAUCAACCAAAUGUCCUCUAACCAUAUAAUAUUUUCCAGUUUUUGUGCGUCUAUAUAUUGAAUAUCCAUCUACGUCAACUUUCGUCUCAGUAUUAUGUUCUUUAGGAUAUUUGAUCUUACAAGUACCAUUCUCCAUACAAGAAUUCUGUUCGUUGCGUUUUCCGCAAGGUCCAUGCACCAUGCAUUUCUUUAUUGUUUCGAACAACUCAGGAUGUUUUUCUGGAUCUGGGAACUCGACACUUACAAAUUUAUCUACUUGAUCGGCAGUUUUGAUUUUAUCUUCACGGUAGAGAAACAAUAAUGCAUGCAUAUGAGGUAGCCCACGCUUCUGGAACUCUAUUGUAUAAACCCUUCCAACAACUCGACCGAAAACAUUGUUCUGCAAUAUCUCAUGCAUAAUAGCCUUCCUUUUCAUUUCGAAUACAUGGGCAACCAACUCAGGACGAUCAGUUGCACUUUGUCCUGCUAAAAGUUCAUUUUGAAUCUCAGGCCAUUUUGGAUUUGCUGUUACUGUCAUGAAAAUAUUUGGAUGUUUGAAAAACCUUGUUAUUGCCAUGGAGUCUUGGUAUAUUUCAUACAUAUGUCUUGGACUUCCAAUGUGAGAAGAAGGUAGAAUAAAUCUUUUGCCAAUUUGUGAAGGAUCAUCGCCAUUGAUAACUAUAUCUGAUAAACCACCGUAAACUUCACAACGGAGCUUUUCUUGGUUGGUUCUAAAAAAGUUUAGCUUGUUUUGUUCAUAUGACGCCCAUGCAUCCACUAUAAAUUCUUGAAACAAAGGACCAGGCAAAAAUAAGGACGAAAAUUCUGUAAUUCUAUCAAACAGUCGAUAACGAAAAUACUCCCAUUGUGUCAACCUGUGUUCAUCGUCUUCGUCUGUAUAAAAUUUUUGGUUUGUUACAUCCCAAUGUUUCAUUUCAAGAGACCAACCCAUAUCACCUUUUGGAAAUAACAAAAUGUAGUGGGAAGGUAAAUAUAGUGGAUGGCAUUCACUAAUUCUUUCUAAACGAUUACUCUUCAAAUGAAGGACAAUGUCUCGUUUUUUGGCCUUUUCAGUACCAUCUCCUGGUAAAAGUACACAAAUGUCAUCUGAAGUUGGAAGAUUAUAUCGUCUUGGAUCAGUAUCGGGCAUAAAAGCUAACCUUACAGGUAUAUUCUGGUUUUCUUCAUCAUUAGCUUCUCUAAGUAUUUCGUAUGCGGACUUGUAGAUUUUGCAUAACUUGUUUUCUUCCAACAAAGUGUCUUGAAUAAUCUUUAAAACUUCUGGAUCCAAGUGUGUGUUGCGUUUCUUCCUAUAUUCUAGUGCUUCAUUUGGAUCAUAGAUGUGCAAUUGUGAAUAACAUGGAUCAUUUCCUUCCUCUGGCAACAACGAACCAACCCUAUUCUUCAACUCACCGUGAAUAGUAAAGGAUUUUGGACCUCGACCCUUAAGUAUGCGGUCAUCCAUUUUAACACCUAGGCUUGAAAAGGCAUUUGCAGCAUUAUAUGAUCUGAUAUUUCCCCUAAAAGAUUUGGACAAUGGUCCGGAACCGUUAUAUAACGAUUGUAUAGCAUGAGGCAAUGGAGUUAGGAGUGGCAGUGUAAUUUUUCCUUGUAAACAACACAUUCCAAACAAAGGUGUAUCAACAUUGGACGAUGAUAAUUUUUCAUCGGACUAAUGAUAUGCAGAAUAGGAACUACAAAUAACAUCCAUUUUACCCAAACUAUGUCGUUUAUUUGAGACUAUAAUUUUCUCAGUUGGAAUGCUAGUUUCAUCUUCUAAGAUAGAAUCAUAAUGAGAGUCAUAUAUUGGUUGAGUAUCAGUUGAUUGGCUUUGUUAUGUUGUUGUAGAAUUAUCAUCGCUAUAAAUAAAAACAUAAGAAUAAAUAUAAGAAAAUUUAAAAAAAAAAAAAAACAACUUAGAUUGGAAAAAUGUAAAACAAAAUAAAUUCAAUUAAAAAACCAAGUAAAGCUUAACGACGAGAUUUAUAAAUCUAUAUUAUUAUUACAGUGGAUAAAGUUGUUAAAUACAAUAAUUAAAAUAGUCAUGAUAGAUAUUAAACUUCAUAAAUAUAAAUAACAAUAACAAAAUUAAUGCAAGUAGCUUUAAAGAUUAUAUUUUGUUUAAGCAUAUGAACAAGAUAUUAUCACUACUUAACUUAAUCAUCUCAUAAUAUAAAUAGAUAUUAGCUUAAAAUCUACAUACUCAACAGUUGAAGGAUGGUAUUACCGGGUUUUCAGAAUUAACUUUCUCUAAGAAUGCACCUUAUCAAAGAGAAACAUAAUGUCCAGCAAUCCAUUGCUCGCUCCAUGACCUACCAAAAAUUAGCAUGGAAUAUGGUUAUCUAACAAAACAAAGUGCGAAUUAUAAUGCCUACUACAAAACAAAAAAACUGCAUCCAAUCAAUGGGCAUAAACACCAAAACUACAUGAGUUGAGUUGCGUCACUUGCAUCAAGAAAAAGAGGUACCAGCCACUCUUUUAAUCACUUUCACUUCUUUCGUCUGUAAACUCGCAAUCCAAUAUGAUAUCUUAUACAUUGUCAAUCGUUUGUCUGUUGUUACUGUGUACUGCUUUUCUAAAUCCCAAACACAUAAGUUGAAGUUUCCAUUCUUGUGUUUGGCUUUUCUUACAUAUCAGUUAUCAACCAUAUGAAAUCUGACAUGUAGUCUUU